UACGUAGGGUGCAAGCGUUAAUCGGAAUUACUGGGCGUAAAGCGUGCGCAGGCGGCUCCUUAAGUCAGAUGUGAAAGCCCCGGGCUUAACCUGGGAACUGCGUUUGAAACUGGGGAGCUAGAGUGUGGAAGAGGGGGGUGGAAUUCCAGGUGUAGCAGUGAAAUGCGUAGAGAUCUGGAGGAACACCGAUGGCGAAGGCAGCCCCCUGGGCUAACACUGACGCUCAUGCACGAAAGCGUGGGGAGCAAACAGG
Molecule: ribosomal RNA, 253 nt
Filed under: uncultured bacterium
Lineage: Bacteria
Description: partial 16S ribosomal RNA
Rfam family: Bacterial small subunit ribosomal RNA
Source: RNAcentral